This 120-nucleotide ribosomal RNA is filed under the name Notechis scutatus (mainland tiger snake). The record is from RNAcentral. Lineage: Eukaryota; Metazoa; Chordata; Lepidosauria; Squamata; Elapidae.
AUCUGUUUCCUACUACCCUGAACUCGCCCGACCUCGCCUGAUCUCGGAAGCUGAGCGGGGGCACGCCCGGUUGGUACUUGGAUGGGGGCCUCCUGGGAAUACCGGGUGCUGUAGCGGAGA